Molecule: unclassified non-coding RNA, 335 nt
Filed under: soil metagenome
Description: partial contains 5.8S ribosomal RNA, internal transcribed spacer 2, and large subunit ribosomal RNA
Rfam family: 5.8S ribosomal RNA (bases 1-120)
Source: RNAcentral
GAUGAAGAACGUAGCGAAAUGCGAUAAGUAAUGUGAAUUGCAGAAUUCAGUGAAUCAUCGAAUCUUUGAACGCACAUUGCGCCCGCUAGUAUUCUGGCGGGCAUGCCUGUUCGAGCGUCAUUUCAACCAUCAAGCUCCUUAGCUUGUGUUGGGGACCUGCGGCUGCCGCAGGCUCCGAAAUGCAGUGGCGGGCUCGUUGUCACACCGAGUGCAGUAAUUGUUCUUCUCUGGGCGUGGCGGCGGGUUCCGGCCGUUAAACCACCUUCAUAACCCAAGGUUGACCUCGGAUCAGGUAGGAAGACCCGCUGAACUUAAGCAUAUCAAUAAGCGGAGGA